RNAcentral lists this unclassified non-coding RNA (263 nucleotides) under plant metagenome. Its description in RNAcentral is "partial contains small subunit ribosomal RNA, internal transcribed spacer 1, and 5.8S ribosomal RNA". The record is from RNAcentral.
UUUCCGUAGGUGAACCUGCGGAAGGAUCAUUAUUGUAUAACCGAGGUGCGAGGGCUGUCGCUGACCCGACAGGUCGUGCACGCCCGAGUGCCCUCACACACAUCCAUCUCACCCCUAUAUGCACCACCGCGUGGGUCCCCCUUUGGCUUGUUCGGAGGGGGGCUUACGUUUUCACACAAACUUUGUAUGCAGUGUAGAAUGUAUUAUUUGUUUUUGCGAUCACGCAAUCAAUACAACUUUCAACAACGGAUCUCUUGGCUCUC